GAUUCCGUUCUAAAAAAAUCAUGUUCGUCGUAGUGUUUGAACACGCGACGGCAUUUACGAUCAUAGUUAUCAAAAAUAUGUUCUCAAAGCAAACUGUUCUUUCGUUCGUAUUUUUCCAAAUCCGGUUGUUUUCAAUUAACAUUUUUUAUUUUUGGGAAAUGGUUUCGAAUCCGGAUGUUGAUUAAGUUUUUUUUUUUAAUAAUUUUUUGCCCAGUUCUUAAAACUCAUGUCCAUCGUAGUCUUUUGAAUUUGAACACACGGUGGCGUUAGGCUCAUAUAUAUCCAAAAAAUGUUUGCAAAAUUCAAUUUUUCCUUUUUCGGAGAUGGUUUCGAAUCCUGUUUGUUGCUUAUGUUUUUUUUUUUCAUUUUCAGGCGACACUCAUGCCAGGAAGUUCACCAUCUCACCAUCUACAGACGGUACUUAAAGGCGGGUUCUAUGUUCUCUUUGAGCGGCUUUGAUGUGUCACUAGGUGUAAUCAAAAUUUUAGUCGGUCGGACUCUCCUCUAUUGAUAUGGUUGAGUGAAUCAACCAGUUUUGAUUAGUUAACCGAACCGGUUUCCCCAAAUCCAGAAGAACACUUAAGGUUUCGAAAUCAAAAUCAGCUGCUUGGCCUAGCCAACACAAAUACCCAGCUUCUAGUGAUGUUUCUGGGACGUUGAGUAUGUUUGACUAAGAUGCUGUAUCAUUCCAUAGCCACCUGGACGGCUAGCAUAAGUCCCACAAUAGUAAGAGGUACUCUGUCACAUAUUCUCUGUAUUGAUUAACUAAGAUCCACCCUAAUGCUUCUUGAAACACUUACAACACUAUUGAUUUGCAGGCGUCUGUUCCUGAAUGCCACAUCUGGGAGACAACUUUAUUUUGACAAGGAGACUAAUGCAGAGGAAACCUAUUUUACAAGUAAGUAUUUGGUAAUUCUUUCACUUUUACGUCCAGAUUUGGUUUGUUCUAUGACUUAUCCACUACAUGCUCUGACGGGUUACUGUCCAUCAUUACACAUCAUCAGCUUCACUGCUGAGGGGUUAAUCCAAGGUUGAGCCUGUGACCAUAGCUGAACUAAACGAGUUUAUCCUCACUCCCAGCCUCAUGUUGUACAAUAAUCUUUAGUAUGAUUGUAUUUUGCAUGUGAUUCUGUUAAUGUAAAAUGCAGAGGUUGAAUUUGUCUGCCCCAUGAAGGUCACUGGAUUUAAUAUGGAUAAAGGCUGGUGCUAUGUCUCUUGCUCCAGAUGUACAAAGAAGCUUCAGCGGACGGUCUCAUCUUUUACUUGGCAACCUGCAGUAACACCAAUGCAGUUGGUUUCCUUCGAUAUGUUGGACCCUAAAAUGAGGUCCCAUAGACACAUUAGCAACUAACAUACAUUUUAAACAUUUUAUUUUAUUUAUCGUGUGGAAACAACUAUUGCUGAUGAGAUUGCUGAAAGUCUAUUUGUUGAUUUCAAUGGGAAAGUGCAUAUCUUGGCUGGAGAAGGAGAAAAUCCAGAGGACACACAGCUACCCCUUUUAUUGCACAAAUAGUUGGCAAGAGUAAGCAGCUACAAUUUCGCUGCCAAUCACCAAACCUUCACUAUAUCACGCAUCUUGAACGAACGUGACCGUCUGCCACUCUCUGAGAUGGCAACGAUGAUCAUGGCGAUGAUAUGCCUGGGAAUAUCUCAGUGCUCACUAAGGUGGACACUGAUGGUGACGACCGUGAGGAAGCGCCAACUAUAGGAAUUACUUCAACUGGUGUCCACACCAAUAAGCCUCCCGCAACAGCAACUUCCAAGGUUGUCAAGAAGGCACGGGUCGCAUAGGCGAAGAUCAUGAAGUCUCUCUACCCACUAUUUUCUGUUUGAAUAAUGUUUCGGCAUCAAUUUUUAAAAUAUGUAGCAUCUGGUAAAGUUUCUUUAAAAUAAAUAAUUUCUUAACCAUCUUAUGAAUUUAGUUUGACUUCAACAUUUAUACGAGUGAUUUAAGUUUAUGCAAA
Brassica napus (rape) is the source of this 1964-nucleotide long non-coding RNA. RefSeq lists it as uncharacterized. The transcript is spliced from 4 exons. The record is from RefSeq and is a predicted model, not a curated record. Lineage: Eukaryota; Viridiplantae; Streptophyta; Magnoliopsida; Brassicales; Brassicaceae.